CCGGCACAUUGGAGCCUGAGAUCGAAAAUGCGGCUCUUCAUCUGUGAAGACAAGUUAUCAAAAACACCCUGCAAGGAUCACUGAAUCUUGGGUGCACGUGAGUCCUGAAAGUUCAGGCAGAGACAAGGAUCCCUGAGCUCCAGAGCCUUGUUAACUGGGUCUUUGCUUCAUGCUGAGGAAGGAGGAAGGGUAAAUAAGCAAGGAGACCAGGCCUCGCUGACUCAGAUCAUUCACCCCAACGCUGAUUUGCAAUUUCAAGGAGCUUCCACAGAAGGACCAAGGCUCGGGAAAGACUGCUGGACCUUCUGCAUUUGUUGACAAUGUGACAUAAAAGAAAGAGAAAACCUUCUGUCCCCUGAAAGGUCAUGUUCCUAUCUUCCCUCUUUGUCACUUCGUCUUUGAGACACAGAUCCAGUUGGACAAGGUUUUAACCUCUGCACUAAAAACACCUUCCAAAUCAGUGACAUUUCUGCUACAAACCCACUGGGCAGGGAUGGUAACUUGGUUCACUGCCAGGAUAAAGCUUAAGAUUCAGUAAAUAUUUAACGUUGACAACAGCAUCACUUCCUUGAACUCUGACCUUUCAUUCAGCUAGCUUCCUGUAGAAGGUGAACAGAACCAGAGGAGGCAGACCUGUUUUGGUGCUGGUGAGUACACAGGAGCUAGGAGAAUAAGCCACAAGAAAGCAGGGACAGAUUGGUCUACAGAAACGUGCAAAUGGCUUGUCAAUGUGUUUUAAUGAACUUCAUCUUUCGUGCAUCUGGACAGGUUCACUCAUGUGACUGGCAUGAUCCCUAUAGUGAAUUGAGCCAUAGGGGCACAGUGACUUCCCUCUGUCAACUCCUCUCAGUUAUUCUAUUUCUAUGGGAUUCUGCAUACAAGAAAGAAAAUGGGCACGCAACUCAAGGGAACAGAAAACAGAACUGGA
Molecule: long non-coding RNA, 928 nt
Organism: Peromyscus californicus insignis
Lineage: Eukaryota; Metazoa; Chordata; Mammalia; Rodentia; Cricetidae
Exons: 3
Source: RefSeq, a predicted model, not a curated record